This 253-nucleotide ribosomal RNA is filed under the name uncultured bacterium. RNAcentral describes it as "partial 16S ribosomal RNA". It matches the Rfam family "Bacterial small subunit ribosomal RNA", at positions 524 to 776 of the family's 1533-position model. The record is from RNAcentral.
UACGUAGGGUGCGAGCGUUAAUCGGAAUUACUGGGCAUAAAGCGUGCGCAGGCGGUUCGCCAAGUCAGGUGUGAAAUCCCCGGGCUUAACCUGGGAAUUGCGCUUGAAACUAGCGGGCUUGAGUGUGGCAGAGGGGGGUGGAAUUCCACGUGUAGCAGUGAAAUGCGUAGAGAUGUGGAGGAACACCGAUGGCGAAGGCAGCCCCCUGGGUCAACACUGACGCUCAUGCACGAAAGCGUGGGGAGCAAACAGG